Molecule: non-coding RNA, 111 nt
Organism: Triticum aestivum (bread wheat)
Lineage: Eukaryota; Viridiplantae; Streptophyta; Magnoliopsida; Poales; Poaceae
Source: Rfam
CUGCUACUCCCUCCGUUCGGAAUUACUUGUCGCGGAAAUGGAUGUAUCUGGAAAAUACGUCUAGAUACAUCCAUUUCUGCGACAAGUAAUUCCGAACGGAGGGAUUACUUC